Tupaia belangeri chinensis (Chinese tree shrew) is the source of this 374-nucleotide long non-coding RNA. RefSeq lists it as uncharacterized. Lineage: Eukaryota; Metazoa; Chordata; Mammalia; Scandentia; Tupaiidae. The record is from RefSeq and is a predicted model, not a curated record. The transcript has 3 exons.
AAUCGUUUCUUUGGGCAUAUUUGUUUUUGGUGGUCUCUUCAAUUGUUGUCAGUCAGUUUUUAAAAUCCAGCUGCCCAACACCACUGAGGCUGUUAGCAUAACGUCUUCAUGUUCUGGAGUUAGCAACAAGCCCAGACAUCUAGUGUGUGAAGAAGAUGGAAACUGCAAAGAGCGAGGAAAAGCGAUGACUUGGGGUGGAACCUAAACCUAUUGAAAAUGUCUACAAGAAAAAAAUAAAUAAGAGAAGACUUAGACACAGAGAUGCUGUGAAGAUGGAGGCGGAGACUGAAGUUAUGGAGUCAUAAACCAAAGACCACCUGGAGCCACAGAAACUAGAAGAGGCAAACUAUAGAAUCUUUCCUAAAACCCUCAGA